UCCGUAGGUGAACCUGCGGAAGGAUCAUUACCGAGUUAGGGUCUUAUAGGCCCGACCUCCAACCCUUUGUUUAUUACACCAUGUUGCUUUGGUGGACCCGCCUUUUGGGGCCGCUGGGGGCUUACACGCCCCUGGUCAGUAUCUGCCAGUAGCCUUAUUAAAUUCUUUUAUAAUUAUGUUGUCUGAGUAUAAAUAUAAAUCGUUAAAACUUUCAACAACGGAUCUCUUGGUUCUGGCAUCGAUGAAGAACGCAGCGAAAUGCGAUAAGUAAUGCGAAUUGCAGAAUUCAGUGAGUCAUCGAAUCUUUGAACGCAUAUUGCGCCCUUUGGUAUUCCGAAGGGCAUGCCUGUUCGAGCGUCAUUAUUCAACCAUCAAGCCUGGCUUGUCGUUGGACCUCUGCCGUUGAAAUAUAUGGCAGGUCCGAAAGAUAAUGACGGCGUCGUGUUUUGACCCUAGAUGCAACGAGCUUUUUAUAGCACGCAUUGAAGUGGUCGGCCGACCCGGUCUUUAACCAUCAUUUUCUAAGGUUGACCUCGGAUCAGGUAGGAAUACCCGCUGAACUUAAGCAUAUCAAUAAGCGGAGGAAAAGAAACCAACAGGGAUUACCCUAGUAACGGCGAGUGAAGCGGUAACAGCUCAAAUUUGAAAUCUGAUCUUUACGGGUCCGAGUUGUAAUUUGUAGAGGAUGUUUCGGAUAAAGCUUUGGUUUAAGUUUCUUGGAACAGAACGUCAUAGAGGGUGAGAGUCCCGUCUAGAACCGAUAGCCGCGUCCAUGUGAAACUCCUUCGACGAGUCGAGUUGUUUGGGAAUGCAGCUCAAAAUGGGUGGUAAAUUUCAUCUAAAGCUAAAUAUUGGCCAGAGACCGAUAGCGCACAAGUAGAGUGAUCGAAAGAUGAAAAG
This 900-nucleotide ribosomal RNA is filed under the name uncultured Chaetothyriales. RNAcentral describes it as "eukaryotic LSU rRNA". The stretch from base 529 to 900 matches the Rfam family "Eukaryotic large subunit ribosomal RNA", at positions 1 to 371 of the family's 3401-position model. The record is from RNAcentral. Lineage: Eukaryota; Fungi; Ascomycota; Eurotiomycetes; Chaetothyriales.